GACGGAGGAUGCAAGUGUUAUCCGGAAUCACUGGGCGUAAAGCGUCUGUAGGUGAUCAAAUAAGUCAACUGUUAAAUCUUGAGGCUCAACCUCAAAAUCGCAGUCGAAACUAUUAGACUAGAGUAUAGUAGGGGUAAAGGGAAUUUCCAGUGGAGCGGUGAAAUGCGUAGAGAUUGGAAAGAACACCGAUGGCGAAGGCACUUUACUGGGCUAUUACUAACACUCAGAGACGAAAGCUAGGGUAGCAAAUGGG
Molecule: ribosomal RNA, 253 nt
Filed under: uncultured bacterium
Lineage: Bacteria
Description: partial 16S ribosomal RNA
Rfam family: Bacterial small subunit ribosomal RNA
Source: RNAcentral